Molecule: ribosomal RNA, 292 nt
Filed under: uncultured Acidovorax sp.
Lineage: Bacteria; Pseudomonadati; Pseudomonadota; Betaproteobacteria; Burkholderiales; Comamonadaceae
Description: partial 16S ribosomal RNA
Rfam family: Bacterial small subunit ribosomal RNA
Source: RNAcentral
GUGUCAGCAGCCGCGGUAAUACGUAGGGUGCAAGCGUUAAUCGGAAUUACUGGGUGUAAAGCGUGCGCAGGCGGUUAUAUAAGACAGAUGUGAAAUCCCCGGGCUCAACCUGGGAACUGCAUUUGUGACUGUAUAGCUAGAGUACGGCAGAGGGGGAUGGAAUUCCGCGUGUAGCAGUGAAAUGCGUAGAUAUGCGGAGGAACACCGAUGGCGAAGGCAAUCCCCUGGGCCUGUACUGACACUCAUGCACGAAAGCGUGGGGAGCAAACAGGAUUAGAUACCCUCGUAGUCC